RNAcentral lists this ribosomal RNA (253 nucleotides) under uncultured bacterium. Its description in RNAcentral is "partial 16S ribosomal RNA". It matches the Rfam family "Bacterial small subunit ribosomal RNA", at positions 524 to 776 of the family's 1533-position model. The record is from RNAcentral.
UACGUAGGGUGCAAGCGUUGUCCGGAAUUAUUGGGCGUAAAGAGCUCGUAGGUGGUUUGUCGCGUUGUUCGUGAAAACUCACAGCUCAACUGUGGGCGUGCGGGCGAUACGGGCAGACUGGAGUAAUGCAGGGGAGACUGGAAUUCCUGGUGUAGCGGUGGAAUGCGCAGAUAUCAGGAGGAACACCGGUGGCGAAGGCGGGUCUCUGGGCAGUAACUGACGCUGAGGAGCGAAAGCGUGGGGAGCGAACAGG